UUUCCGUAGGGUGACCUGCCGAAGGAUCAUUACCGAGUGAGGGCCCUCUGGGUCCAACCUCCCACCCGUGUUUAUUUUACCUUGUUGCUUCGGCGGGCCCGCCUUAACUGGCCGCCGGGGGGCUUACGCCCCCGGGCCCGCGCCCGCCGAAGACACCCUCGAACUCUGUCUGAAGAUUGAAGUCUGAGUGAAAAUAUAAAUUAUUUAAAACUUUCAACAACGGAUCUCUUGGUUCCGGCAUCGAUGAAGAACGCAGCGAAAUGCGAUACGUAAUGUGAAUUGCAAAUUCAGUGAAUCAUCGAGUCUUUGAACGCACAUUGCGCCCCCUGGUAUUCCGGGGGGCAUGCCUGUCCGAGCGUCAUUGCUGCCCUCAAGCCCGGCUUGUGUGUUGGGCCCCGUCCCCCGAUCUCCGGGGGACGGGCCCGAAAGGCAGCGGCGGCACCGCGUCCGGUCCUCGAGCGUAUGGGGCUUUGUCACCCGCUCUGUAGGCCCGGCCGGCGCUUGCCGAUCAACCCAAAUUUUUAUCCAGGUGACCUCGAUCAGUAUGAUUAC
RNAcentral lists this ribosomal RNA (552 nucleotides) under Penicillium commune. RNAcentral describes it as "eukaryotic LSU rRNA". The stretch from base 209 to 361 matches the Rfam family "5.8S ribosomal RNA". Lineage: Eukaryota; Fungi; Ascomycota; Eurotiomycetes; Eurotiales; Aspergillaceae. The record is from RNAcentral.